UACAGAGGGGGCAAGCGUUGUUCGGAAUUACUGGGCGUAAAGGGCGCGUAGGCGGCCUGCUAAGUCGAACGUGAAAUCCCUGGGCUCAACCCAGGAACUGCGUCCGAUACUGGUUGGCUUGAAUCCGGGAGAGGGACGUGGAAUUCCAGGUGUAGCGGUGAAAUGCGUAGAUAUCGUAAGGAAGACCAGUGGCGAAGGCGGGUCUCUGGACAGUUCCUGACGCUGAGGCACGAAGGCCAGGGGAGCAAACGGG
This 253-nucleotide ribosomal RNA is filed under the name uncultured bacterium. Its description in RNAcentral is "partial 16S ribosomal RNA". It matches the Rfam family "Bacterial small subunit ribosomal RNA", at positions 524 to 776 of the family's 1533-position model. The record is from RNAcentral.